Molecule: ribosomal RNA, 301 nt
Filed under: uncultured bacterium
Lineage: Bacteria
Description: partial 16S ribosomal RNA
Rfam family: Bacterial small subunit ribosomal RNA
Source: RNAcentral
CAGCAGCCGCGGGAAUACGAAGGGUGCAAGCGUUAAUCGGAACUACUGGGCGUAAAGCGUGCGUAGGCGGUUUGUUAAGUCUGUUGUGAAAUCCCCGGGCUCAACCUGGGAGUGGCAAUGGAUACUGGCAAGCUAGAGUGUGUCAGAGGAUGGUGGAAUUCCCGGUGUAGCGGUGAAAUGCAUAGAGAUCGGGAGGAACAUCAGUGGCGAAGGCGGCCAUCUGGGACAACACUGACGCUGAGGCACGAAAGCGUGGGGAGCAAACAGGAUUAGAUACCCCAGUAGUCCCUGUCUCUUAUAC